UCGUGGAUUGAUCUGUCAGGUUGAUUCCGGUAACGAACGAGAUCUUGGCCUUUUAAUGACAGUUUGAUCGGUUGUAGUCCAAUGUUGAUGCACUUGCGUACUCACGUUGUAUGAGAUCUUGACAUGUACUUAAAAGGACUAUGCGUGUUUACAGUGCAUGGAAGUGCGAACCUAUAGCA
Molecule: ribosomal RNA, 179 nt
Filed under: uncultured eukaryote
Lineage: Eukaryota
Description: partial 18S ribosomal RNA
Rfam family: Eukaryotic small subunit ribosomal RNA
Source: RNAcentral